Molecule: RNA transcript, 2796 nt
Organism: Scylla paramamosain (green mud crab)
Lineage: Eukaryota; Metazoa; Arthropoda; Malacostraca; Decapoda; Portunidae
Gene name: GTP-binding protein 10-like
Exons: 12
Source: RefSeq, a predicted model, not a curated record
CGUCUUUAAAACGGUCUGAUCCAAUAAAUACACGAGUCAUGGGUGAAAAAUGCAGGUUUCCUGUGUCCCUUGCACGUGCCAGCGAUCAGCUGUAAUGUUUGUUUACGUCAUCACCUGACUGAGAGGCCGUGAGGAGGGAAACACUGGGAGAGAUAAACAUAUUAUAUAGAUAGUGAAAGAGAAGACACAAGGAACACAGUAAUGAAGAGAAACAUGAAGGAAGCGCCGCUGAAUGAACUAAUCUUCCCUACAAGAAGCUGAACUUGAGAAGCAAGGACUGGAUGGCCAAACUGGUCACAAGAAAAGAGGAUUGUGUCUUUUCCAGGCAUCCGUCUAUCAGGACAUAAGGACGCAAGGGAAGCUGUCAGAGAGGAGGAGGAGGAGGAGAAAGUUUUGUAUUGCUGUACAGGAGGAGGAAGAGAUUUUGUGUUGCUGGCAAGAGGAAGAGAUUUUGUGUUGCUGGGAAGGGGAAGAAGAAAUUUUGGGCAGUGAUGGAGAAUGUGGGUCCCUCCUGGCUGGGUCCUGCAUCCUGGUGGUAUGAGUUGCCAGCGCUGCAUCUCUUCUACAGUGCUGCCAUGCCAGGCCACAGUCUGCUGAAGCUGUGCAAGGCUCAGCCAGACCAGCGGUGGGUUGGGGCAGCUGGCAUGGACAGUCGCAAGUAUCGCAUCUGUGGGGAGGCUGGUGCUGAGCUGACCAUUCCUGUCCCUACCGGCACCACCGUCUGGCUCGAGCAGCACCAGAAAUUGCUGGGUGAGAUAAACUGUGCAGGAGACAAGAUGUUGGUGGCUUGAGGUGGGCAGGACGGCAACCCCAGCAACCAGUACAAUGGGCAGAAGGGACAGGGACACAUUGUGAAGCUGGAACUGAAGCUGUUGGCCGAUGUGGGUCUGGUGGGCUUCCCUAACGCUGGCAAGUCCACACUGCUGUGGGCCAUCUCCAGGGCCAGACCCAAGGUGGCCAGCUGCCCCUUCACGACGCUGCAGCUGACCCUGGGUGUGGUGGAGUACAGUGACAUGCGGCGGCUGACCAUCGCUGACCUGCCAGGACUCAUUGAGGGUGCCUGGGCCAACGUGGGGAUGGGGCACCGCUUCCUGCGCCACGUGGAGCGGACACACUUCCUCCUCUUUGUGGUGGACAUCAACGGCUUCCGGCUGUCACCCAAACAGCCAUACCGCUCACCCACCGAGAAUGUCAUGCUGGUCAACAGGGAGUUGGAGCUGUAUUCACCUGACCUGCUGAGUAAGCCAGCACUCCUUAUGGUGAAUAAGAUGGACUCUCCCAAUGCUGAGUCUCGCCUGCAGGAACUCCUUCACAACAUUAAGAGGAUGGAGGACUAUGUGUUGUGUUGCUCCUGUGGUGCCAAACUCACGGAGAACUCAUGGGAUAACUUUGUAAACAUCUCCAUUCCACUGUCUGAGGCAUCCCAGCUGGUGACCAUCCUGGGACACCCCCACCUCAUGGUCCAGACCCUCAGGAACCCUGCUGACCUUGCUUUUGACUUGGUGACUGUCAGGAGUGGGCUGCUCAGGAGUGGGAGAGGAUAUUUGAACCAGAAACCAAAGCCAGCACAACCCACUUCAAAGCUUCCUUGGAGGGUUUCUAUGGACUCAUUCUAGAGAAACUGGUCACUGAGAAAUUUUUGUGCUUAUGUCUUUUUGAACAGUGCAGUGUCCUAAACACAGAGGCAGGCAGUCUCCCUAUUGAAGCAGGCUGAAGCUAAACACUAGAGGCAACAAGAUUCAGUCUACUUUUACAGUGUGCAGCUUUACAUAUAAUUACAGAAGUACAUGAGACUUACCGUAGUUUCAGACUCCUCAUUGGCCUUCCCAAGCACCAGCAGUUUUACCACAAUGGCACAAGACGGGUAGGACAUGGUGCCUCUCGACCUCGAGCUUCUGGCUGAGCUGGAGGAGGAAGCAACCUCUCACUAUACUGAGGAGGAUAACCAGUUUACAGAGCACUGCAAGAAGAGCCUGCCUAAGCCGCCAAUACUCCCUGCUGACAGAUUUGACCGCAACAGACAGUGCAGAGGCAACUUUAGGCAUCAAGACUACAGGAAGGAAGGAGGCUGCAGGGAUCAAGGGGAGUACAGAGGUCAUGGGAAUUAUAGGGAUCGUGGGAAUUACAGGGAUCACAGGUGGGAAUAUUCUGACCACAGGCAAGGGAGGUUUGUCAGUGACCACAGAGAUCAUGAUGACAGCAGAAGGGAUAGCGAGAAGAGGAAGUACAGGUCUGAGAAGGAGAGUGAUGAGUAUGGAAGAAGGAAUUACCAGUCCAGCAAAUACUACAAUGGGUGGGGGGGGGGUGUCAUCCUGUUGAGUUUUGUGAAUCCAGUGGCUGGUAUAUUUAUCUUUCAUCAGGGACUUCACACAAGCUUCCACGCCAUUAAUUCUUUGAGCAGUAACCAAAGAUUACUGACAUUUAAUUUACAUUUAAAUGCCUGCCUGCCUGUCUGUUCAUAUCUUUCUCUCACAACGUACUCACCAUUCACUUGUGAACAUUUAGAUUUUUAGGAAAUAUUUUUGAGCAAGUUCCUUCAUCACAAGGCAACCAUCUACUAAAAAGAAAGAAAAAUGGAAUAUAUGUUGGCAUUUCCUUGAUUGCUUUUGGUGUUAGUGACUUUCCAGAGUGACAAUACAAGUGUUAUCCCCACUACAAGUCAUGCACUAUAUAUAACAUCACUGAGUAUCUUUUCUCUCAUUUUCAUAUAAAUGUUUGUAACAUUUUCAUAUAAAUGUAUGCUAACUUUUAUGUGGACUUACUGUAAGAUUUUUUAAAAGUAAAGUAUUUAUCCAA